UUGAUGGUAGUGUAUUGGACUACCAUGGCUAUCACGGGUAACGGAGAAUUAGGGUUCUAUUCCAGAGAGGGAGCCUGAGAAAUGGCUACCACAUCUAAGGAAGGCAGCAGGCGCGUAAAUUACCCAAUCCUGACUAAGGGAGGUAGUGACAAGAAAUAACUCACUUGGGAGCUUAAUGCUCAUCGAGAUGGUAAUGAGAACAAUUUAAAAGACUUAUCGAAAUCUAUUGGAGGGCAAGUCUGGUGCCAGCAGCCGCGGUAAUUCCCGCUCCAAUAGCGUAUAUUAAAGUUGUUGCAGUUAAAAAGCUCGUAGUUGAAUUUGUGAUAGGAUACAUGUAUGUACUAAACCAAAAGUAUAGCAUAACUACUGUCAUACUCUAGGGAAGCAAAUACCUCCUUAAGUGGUGAGUAUUGUGGAACUAGAAUUUUACUUUGAAAAAAUUAGAGUGUUCCAAGCAGGCUUAUGCUUGAAUACGUUAGCAUGGAAUAAUGGAAUAGGACUUGAUUCAUUUGUAUUGGUUUGUUUGAGUUAAGAAAUGAUUAAUAAGGACUGUUGGGGGCACUCAUAUUUAAUUGGCAGAGGUGAAAUUCUUGGAUUUAUUAAAGACCAACUAAUGCGAAAGCAUUUGACAAGGAUGUUUUCAUUAAUCAAGAACGAAAGUUAGGGGAUCAAAGACGAUUAGAUACCGUC
This 690-nucleotide ribosomal RNA is filed under the name uncultured eukaryote. RNAcentral describes it as "bacterial SSU rRNA". It matches the Rfam family "Eukaryotic small subunit ribosomal RNA", at positions 322 to 1019 of the family's 1831-position model. The record is from RNAcentral.